RNAcentral lists this ribosomal RNA (447 nucleotides) under uncultured bacterium. RNAcentral's name for it is "partial 16S ribosomal RNA". It matches the Rfam family "Bacterial small subunit ribosomal RNA", at positions 29 to 523 of the family's 1533-position model. The record is from RNAcentral.
AGCGAACGCUGGCGGCAGGCUUAACACAUGCAAGUCGAGCGCCCCGCAAGGGGAGCGGCAGACGGGUGAGAAACACGUGGGAACGUGCCUUUUGGUUCGGAACAACCCAGGGAAACUUGGGCUAAUACCGGAUAAGCCCUUACGGGGAAAGAUUUAUCGCCAAAAGAUCGGCCCGCGUCUGAUUAGCUAGUUGGUGGGGUAAUGGCCCACCAAGGUUACGAUCAGUAGCUGGUCUGAGAGGAUGAUCAGCCACAUUGGGACUGAGACACGGCCCAAACUCCUACGGGAGGCAGCAGUGGGGAAUAUUGGACAAUGGGGGCAACCCUGAUCCAGCCAUGCCGCGUGAGUGAUGAAGGCCUUAGGGCUGUAAAGCUCUUUUAGCAGGGAAGAUAAUGACGGUACCUGCAGAAAAAGCCCCGGCUAACUUCGUGCCAGCCGCCGCUGUAA